CAGCCACCUCUUCCCAGCUGCUUUCCCCAGCCCUAGCAAGAGGGCACCCUCUUCCAAAAGCGAGUCUACCUGGGGAGGAGGUGGCUCCGUGCUGAAGUUAGGAGAAGGUUGGCUAUGAAGGCAGAGUGGGACCUUCUUCACUGCAGUCCUCCUACAACUUGGACCAGAGGAUUCCAUCUUCGCUGUUACAGUAUCCAUCUCCACAAGGAGCAGAAGUACAUGGGAAGUAGAGAAAACAGAAAUUAGAAAGCUAGAAGCUGUUUUGAAAAAUGCUUUCAGACUUUACAAAACAUAUAUGAAAAGAGAAUUUAUAUUUCCCCAUAUUUGGCUGGAUAUUUAUAUGACAAUUCCAAUAACCAGAUACAAAAUCAAAAUUAAAACUAAGGUACAUUUACCCAUAAAGAAAAUAUAAUGCCAC
This 418-nucleotide long non-coding RNA is filed under the name Heterocephalus glaber (naked mole-rat). RNAcentral's name for it is "lncRNA (ENSHGLG00000038966.1)". The record is from RNAcentral. Lineage: Eukaryota; Metazoa; Chordata; Mammalia; Rodentia; Bathyergidae.